ACACAUGCAAGUCGAACGAGCGAGAGAGAGCUUGCUUUCUCGAGCGAGUGGCGAACGGGUGAGUAACGCGUGAGGAACCUGCCUCAAAGAGGGGGACAACAGUUGGAAACGACUGCUAAUGCCGCAUAAGCCCACGACCCGGCAUCGGGUUGAGGGAAAAGGAGCAAUCCGCUUUGAGAUGGCCUCGCGUCCGAUUAGCUAGUUGGUGAGGUAACGGCCCACCAAGGCAACGAUCGGUAGCCGGACUGAGAGGUUGAACGGCCACAUUGGGACUGAGACACGGCCCAGACUCCUACGGGAGGCAGCAGUGGGGAAUAUUGCACAAUGGGGGAAACCCUGAUGCAGCGACGCCGCGUGGAGGAAGAAGGUCUUCGGAUUGUAAACUCCUGUUGUUGAGGAAGAUAAUGACGGUACUCAACAAGGAAGUGACGGCUAACUACGUGCCAGCAGCCGCGGUAAAACGUAGGUCACAAGCGUUGUCCGGAAUUACUGGGUGUAAAGGGAGCGCAGGCGGGAAGACAAGUUGGAAGUGAAAUCCAUGGGCUCAACCCAUGAACUGCUUUCAAAACUGUUUUUCUUGAGUAGUGCAGAGGUAGGCGGAAUUCCCGGUGUAGCGGUGGAAUGCGUAGACAUCGGGAGGAACACCAGUGGCGAAGGCGGCCUACUGGGCACCAACUGACGCUGAGGCUCGAAAGUGUGGGUAGCAAAC
This 709-nucleotide ribosomal RNA is filed under the name uncultured bacterium. RNAcentral describes it as "bacterial SSU rRNA". It matches the Rfam family "Bacterial small subunit ribosomal RNA", at positions 51 to 773 of the family's 1533-position model. The record is from RNAcentral.